UACAGAGGUGGCAAGCGUUGUUCGGAAUUACUGGGCGUAAAGGGCGCGUAGGCGGCCUUCUAAGUCAGACGUGAAAUCCCCAGGCUUAACUUGGGAACUGCGUCUGAUACUGGGAGGCUUGAGUGCGGGAGAGGGAUGUGGAAUUCCAGGUGUAGCGGUGAAAUGCGUAGAGAUCGGGAGGAACACCUGUGGCGAAGGCGGCCGACUGGGCCGACCCUGACGCUGAGGCGCGAAGGCGUGGGGAGCGAACGGG
RNAcentral lists this ribosomal RNA (253 nucleotides) under uncultured bacterium. RNAcentral's name for it is "partial 16S ribosomal RNA". It matches the Rfam family "Bacterial small subunit ribosomal RNA", at positions 524 to 776 of the family's 1533-position model. The record is from RNAcentral.